Neofelis nebulosa (Clouded leopard) is the source of this 741-nucleotide long non-coding RNA. RefSeq lists it as uncharacterized. The transcript is spliced from 2 exons. NCBI's taxonomy places the organism in Eukaryota, Metazoa, Chordata, Mammalia, Carnivora, Felidae. The record is from RefSeq and is a predicted model, not a curated record.
ACGCCCAACACCGACAGCCCCGCCUUGGCCCCGCCCACUGCCCCGCCCGCACCCAGUGUCAGGCACCGGAAGCUCAGUAACUGGCGUACGUGGUCGUGAUACUGGUCCACUGCAUUCUAUCCAGGGCCUGAAAUGCUUUUGCACAGACACUUCCUCGUCAGAUGGAACAACAUGAUGGAACCCAUCAUGCACAACAGAAAGGCCGAGAAGACCUCAUGGUACAGUUGGCCAUGGAGAUGACUGGACGAUCAGUCUCAAAGCGGUGAAGAUCUGGAUUUCUAGGCUUCCCUAAAUUGGUCAACCUCUCACAAGCAAGAAAAUGACCAGAGAGGCGGACGGAGAGACUGAACACGCAGACAAUGAUCAGACCACAUGUAAACUGAGAAACUCUGACCCACACCUGUGCAGCCACCAGCCCAGAAUGGUCAGGGCUUGGUCAAUGACUGCCUGUUUCCCUAUCUUUUGCUCCUAUUUCUGAAUCAGGACCAACCAGAGAAAGCCAGUUAUGUUCCCAAAACGAAUCGCAUGAGAUUCCUGGCUUCCAGAUAGCCUACCUCCAGUCUUCCCAUGCCAACAACCUCCAAUCACGACACGCCUGAGGCCUCUCUCCAUCACCCCCUUUUCUACUAUAAAGCUUUUCCCUCCUCUGCCUGCCUUUGAGUUUCUGUCAAAAGCUAGUGCUGGUGGUCGGCUCCCUUACUAUACAGCAAGUUCAGAAUAAAUAACCUCUGCUUGUUCUCA